Molecule: long non-coding RNA, 259 nt
Filed under: Brassica napus (rape)
Lineage: Eukaryota; Viridiplantae; Streptophyta; Magnoliopsida; Brassicales; Brassicaceae
Description: long non-coding RNA (BNAP_LNC003217)
Source: RNAcentral
AGCAACAUACAAUCUGCGACUGCGUGGAACAAUUGGGUUAAAGGAAGAUGUACCACAGCUUUUAAGGUAAUAUAAAAUGUGGAUUGAUGAGAGUCUGUGUAUAUUAAUAAUAAUUGAUUGAAAUUGUAAUGUGCUUGUUUAGGAACAAAGUGAUAAAUACCGGGAACUCAGGAAGGGACAAAUUCCUCAUACCACUAGCCGUAAAGGGAUGAUUCGACUUGCAGAUGAGAUGGUAUGUUUGUAUUUUCCGAAUCUUUGG